RNAcentral lists this long non-coding RNA (421 nucleotides) under Jatropha curcas. Its description in RNAcentral is "long non-coding RNA (JCUR_LNC003143)". The record is from RNAcentral. Lineage: Eukaryota; Viridiplantae; Streptophyta; Magnoliopsida; Malpighiales; Euphorbiaceae.
GAUAAAUCGGUCUUAUAAACAAUUUUGAGUCGCCAUCCAUUGUUUAGGCAAUGGGACCGUUUUUAUAAAAAUGACUCCAUUUUAAACCCAAUUUUGUUUUAAGGCCAAAUUAUUUUAAAAGACUGGUCAGGCGCACCAAUGCGAUUCUGGGUAAGGGAAUUGGGUACGCCGGCCCGUUGGAAGCCGACGCCCGAAAAACCGGCCUCUAUUAUUAACCUAUGAUUUCUAAUUUAUUUUAGUUAGAAAAGCCAAAUUAUUUAUUUACUUAAACCCAACCCAAAUAAAUCGGACCGAGUUCCUAUUUGGAAAAUUAUUUAAUCGUCCCAAACAAAUCUAAUUAUCACAUAACAAUUAUUCAAAUUAAAGCAAUUAAACCAAAUAAAUAAAAGACCCGCUCUUGCCUUAUGGUUCAAGGCGGGCG